AAUCAUGCACGACUAUUUCACCAAGCGGCUUUGACCAAACCUUGCUCUGAUACCAAAUUGAAGAGUUUGAACACAACAAUCAACAAUAAUUUUAUUGAUUACAAGAACUUGUACACUUAACUUGUGUACAACAACACACACUAUCACUUACAAAAGAUAACUCUUUCUUACACAAGAAGUAGUACACACACAAUUUAGGAAGACACUUUAACUUUAGACACAGACUCUUUAGUAUUUUGGACACCACAAACUUGAAUUCUCACUCUCUUACUUGGAAUACUUGAACACUCUUUCUUCUUUCAUUUCACAAAUGAAGACAUAUCCCUAUUUAUAGAGACCAAUGAAUAAUUCUAGAGGCACACACCACUCCAUGCUUCUAGAUGCUUAUAGUGAAACUCAUAAACUUCGUUCUUCAUAUUUCGGAAUAUUCUAGCAUCAUCCAGAAAGAUCUAGUAUAGUCUAUAUUAUUCUAGAAGUAAAGGGAAGCUCUAGAAAGUCUAGAAGCUUUUUCCGGAAGAUUCUAGAGUAGUCUAGAUGUUUCGAAUAUAUCCGAAAAUUCUAGUGUUAUCCGGAAGACUCCGAAAAAUUCAACAGUGGUGAUCAUCUUUCAACAUUGCCAAGUGCUUCAAGCAAGAUCCUUAACCUUCCUUCCCCAUCUCCCCAACACAUAUCGAACAGUACUCACCGAAUCUAUCACAAAUUAAAGAAAACAGAAUUAAAAUAACCCACAACAUCUCAACAGCUUACUGAAGAACAAUUCCUAAAAACCCUCCAACAAAACCAACCGAAAAAAUAGCACAAAACGAAAAAUCAAUUGGACACAAAAAGAUAUCAACAGACAGAGGAGAGGAAGAUGCAUUUGAAUCUCAACUUCAUAUUUGUGGAAAAUUAGAAUUUGCUUCGAAUAAAUUGUGUUUGGCUAUCUUCAAUCCUUGCUCUAAUUUUCAUCAAGUUUGAGUAGAAAUUGGGUUAAAAAGGCUUUUGAUACUAACCAUUACAAUGGUUCUUCGUCAAAUCUUUUAAAAAAAUUCCCAACUUAUCCUAAAUUUUAUCCAUUUUUUUAAGAAAACAUUCCAAUGCUCCAAUCCCUACUCUCUUAAACAUUCCAUAUUCGGUGAAAAAUCUGUCUAUACCUUACGUUGAUGAAAA
RNAcentral lists this long non-coding RNA (1149 nucleotides) under Actinidia chinensis (golden kiwifruit). Its description in RNAcentral is "long non-coding RNA (ACHI_LNC000691)". The record is from RNAcentral. Lineage: Eukaryota; Viridiplantae; Streptophyta; Magnoliopsida; Ericales; Actinidiaceae.